GUAUAAAGCAUUCAUUAAUUGUUGACAAUCAGACAUUUUAAUUGAAGGAUUUAAAACUGCACCAAUUAAGUAAACAGGAGGAAUUGGAAAGAAAUAUUGUCACUAUCCAAUGACAUGUAAUUGUUAAAUAAUCAUUUCCAUUUACAGCAUGGCCAAUAUCAGAGGGGAGGGUAUUUAUAGAUUUUUAGAAGGGUUAUUAAUGUAAUUUAAUAAAAACAAAAAAA
Molecule: long non-coding RNA, 224 nt
Filed under: Nicotiana benthamiana
Lineage: Eukaryota; Viridiplantae; Streptophyta; Magnoliopsida; Solanales; Solanaceae
Description: long non-coding RNA (NBEN_LNC036512)
Source: RNAcentral